This 2090-nucleotide long non-coding RNA is filed under the name Homo sapiens (human). RNAcentral's name for it is "HSALNT0359129". Lineage: Eukaryota; Metazoa; Chordata; Mammalia; Primates; Hominidae. The record is from RNAcentral.
CUUUCGCUGGAAGUCCUGACUCCUUCUCAAUGCACAAGGACGCCCUUCUGCUGCCAAAGCUGGCUGGUGGUUCUUUCUGGAAUGGCAGCUUUCCCCAUCCCCCUUCAGGCUUGGGUCGAUCUUCUGGCAGGCAAACGUACUAAAGAGUUACAGGUGGUGCAGAUACGGUUUGGAAGGAAUCCCAGCUGGGCCUCCUCCCAGAAGCCUUCUGAUCACUCACCAGAUAACUCUAGCUGCUUGCAGAGUCCUGGGAAUCUUAGCUUCUCCAGGAAACCAGCUUCAAGGGCAACAAGAGGUUCUGAGGAGCUAGAAUAAUCUCGGAAGCUGAAACUGCUUUGUCCUUUUGCUUCCUUAGGUUGGAAAUAUUUUUGCAAUACCACUGAAUCCUCCAGUUUUUACCCCUUACGAUGGGAAGUGAAUACAGUAUGAAAAGGGAGUGGGACAUAUGAGAGGAACGACAGGCUCAAAAUAUGAAGACUUAAUCCAGACACCUCUGUGUCUCUGAACUUGCGUUGUUUCUUCUUUGGAGGUGAAGUACACAUCGUUUUACUCCGGGCAGAGGACUUGUGCUCCUUUUGAGAACUUUCAGCUCUGUAGUGUCGAGUCUUCUGGUUUCCAGAUCCACAUCCUGCCCUGGGGGAAUUGACAUCCAUCAGCUUCUUCUAGGAAAGCACUCUGAAGCCAAGUUGAAACAUUAUACUCUCAGGCAGUAGUAGAGAUCAACCUCUUAAAACCAAAUCCAUGGGCCCAGGAGUAUGGAAAAGAGUUCAAUAAAAUGGCCUUAACUGGUAUAAGAAGUUACAAUUGUUAAAAGGAGAUUCAGCUGUGAUAGCAAAAGAGAAAGAAAAUGAAAAAGUUGUCCUGGCUCAUCUCUGGAAAGACAUGAUAUUUCAUAACCUCAAGGUGUUUGCUUCUGACCUAUAACUUCAAUUAUAGACCAGGUUAUCCAAAAGUUCUCCUUAUUAACAAGGUAUCUGUUUUUACCAGGUGUCUGUUAUUAAUUAGUUAGUAUAUAAUUUAAUGCAAUUAACCAAAGCACCUCUUAUGCCUAGAACAUAGCAGGUGGUUUACUUCUUUCUUAUGACAUAUUCAAGACUCAUGGUUUUCCCAUUUUUAGAGUCAAAAACAUAAAUUCCUCCUUUUGCUUUCCUGCGCUAACAUAUCCACCUCACACACCUGUUUACUCUUUGUUUGCAGGGAAAUGUGUACAUCUGCUAGGGCGUGAUCUCGAUGAUGAGGUGACAUAUGGGAUGUCAUUCCAUUAUUUAAAGAACAAAUUCCAAAGAUCAAACUUUUCUCCCCACACUUGUGAGUGAUACAUGGGUCUUCUCAGGGACAUUAAAAUGGAGCUAGUCUCACUGAUUUCAUGGACAUUUAGCAUACAAUUAUUGAGUUACCUGCUGAAAUCUCUUCAUACAUAUCUGGUUUCACCCUAGGUUAUGAAUAUCCAUGCAGACUAUUUUUCCAAGCUUCUACGCAACUAACCUUGGCACUUACCCCCAGCUCAGGCAGCAAGCAAAUUAUUCUGGCUUGAUGUCCAUCUGAUGGUUUACUCUUGCUACCUCCUACUCCCUACUAUAACCACAAAUGACCUCCUCCCCACUUGCUCUCAUUCUUACCAGAAGUUUUCAGUUAACAGCUCACUACUAAGCCAGUUUCCUUCUUAAAGUAUAUAUAUCCUUUUAAAAUUUCCAGUCUUGUUACUCUCUCUCUUCCUCUUCAAUUUCUUGUCCUGUUGUCACAAGAUCUCUUCUUAGCUCACCAAAUUAUCUUCUCUUCCCUUUCUCUUUUAUUCCAUUUAUGAACAAGACACCAACUUCUACCACAACAACAGAACAAAACAACCCCUAGCUUCAAAGAGAACAAAAAAACCCCAAAAUAAAUUAAAAAUGGCUUUAAUGCUUAGAGUUGCAGGGACAAGAAAAACCACAUUCUUUUAAAAUGAAAUUAGAUGUCAUAAAGGACUAUGAACUAGUAAGAGUUCCCCGAAGUCCCCUUCCGAAUCUCACAAAAGACUCCAUCUCCUUCUUCAUCUGGCUUUUUGUUAAUAACCAAUGUCCAAUAUAAAUAGAAACAUUGCUUUGUUUUGA